AGAGUUUGAUCAUGGCUCAGGAUGAACGCUGGCGGCGCACUUAAUGCAUGCAAGUCGAACGGACCGACAAAUGGAAGGUAGUUUCGGCUAUCAACUGUAGGUCGGUUAGUGGCGAACGGGUGAGUAACACGUGGGCGACCUGUCCCGAAGAGGGGGAUAACCGCUGGAAACGACGGCUAAUACCCCAUGAUCUCCGCGGUGUUUGAGGACCACGGAGGAAAGCUCCGGCGCUUUGGGAGGGGCCUACGGCCUAUCAGCUAGUUGGUGAGGUAACGGCUCACCAAGGCAAUGACGGGUAGGGGACCUGAGAGGGUGACCCCCCACACUGGCACUGAGACACGGGCCAGACUCCCACGGGAGGCAGCAGCAGGGAAUAUUGCACAAUGGGCGAAAGCCAGAUGCAGUGACGCCGCGUGGAGGAUGAAGGCUCUCGAGUUGUAAACUCCUUUUCCGGGGGACGAGGAAGGACGGUACCCCGGGAAUAAGCCCCGGCUAACUACGUGCCAGCAGCCGCGGUAAUACGUAGGGGGCGAGCGUUAUCCGGAUUUACUGGGCGUAUAGAGCUCGUAGGCGGGGCCCCAAGUCAAAUGUGAAAGCUUCCAGCUUAACUGGGAGAGGUCGUUUGAGACUGGGGUUCUUGAGGGCAGGAGAGGGAGGUGGAAUUCCCGGUGGAGCGGUGGAAUGCGUAGAUAUCGGGAGGAACACCAGUGGCGAAGGCGGCCUCCUGGCCUGUGCCUGACGCUGAGGAGCGAAAGCUAGGGGAGCAAACGGGAUUAGAGACCCCGGUAGUCCUAGCUGUAAACGAUGGAUACUAGAUGUUGGGGGUAUUGACCCCCCCAGUGUCGCAGCUAACGCGUUAAGUAUCCCGCCUGGGGACUACGGCCGCAAGGCUAAAACUCAAAGGAAUUGACGG
Molecule: ribosomal RNA, 913 nt
Filed under: uncultured bacterium
Lineage: Bacteria
Description: bacterial SSU rRNA
Rfam family: Bacterial small subunit ribosomal RNA
Source: RNAcentral